RNAcentral lists this ribosomal RNA (392 nucleotides) under uncultured bacterium. RNAcentral describes it as "bacterial SSU rRNA". It matches the Rfam family "Bacterial small subunit ribosomal RNA", at positions 29 to 446 of the family's 1533-position model. The record is from RNAcentral.
AACGAACGCUGGCGGCAGGCCUCAAACAUGCAAGUCUAGGGGGUGCAGCAAUGCAUCACCGGCGGACGGGUGCGUAACGCGUGGGAAUAUACCUAUUGGUUCGGAACAACUGCGGGAAACUGCAGCUAAUACCGAAUGUGCCCGCAAGGGGAAAGAUUUAUCGCCAAUGGAUUAGCCCGCGUAGGAUUAGCUAGUUGGUGGGGUAAGUGGCCCACCAAGGCUCCGAUCCUUAGCUGUUCUGAGAGGAAGAUCAGCCACACUGGGACUGAGACACGGCCCAGACUCCUACGGGAGGCAGCAGUUGGGAAUCUUGGACAAUGGGGGAAACCCGUGAUCCAGCCAUGCCGCGUGAGUGGUGAAGGCCUUCGGUUGUAAACUACUUCGUACGGGAC